RNAcentral lists this transfer RNA (85 nucleotides) under Crocuta crocuta (spotted hyena). It matches the Rfam family "tRNA". Rfam says of the family: Transfer RNA (tRNA) molecules are approximately 80 nucleotides in length. Their secondary structure includes four short double-helical elements and three loops (D, anti-codon, and T loops). RNAcentral also lists the same sequence under 3 other names. Lineage: Eukaryota; Metazoa; Chordata; Mammalia; Carnivora; Hyaenidae. The record is from Rfam by way of RNAcentral.
GCCUGGGUGGCUCAGUCGGUUGAGCGUCCGACUUCGGCUCAGGUCAUGAUCUCGCGGUUCGUGGGUUCGAGCCCCACAUUGGGCU